CCCUCGCCUUGGUGCCUCCAACACCCCAUUCACCCGUUGGCUAACUCCUGAAUAUGAUGACGGCAUCUCCCAGCCAAAAGGCUUCAGAAAAAAAAAGGAUCAACAACUUCUUGCUUCCCCUGUUUAAUGACCACGACGUCACCUUCACGGCCGCCUCCCCCAGCAUCCGCUCCUUCAGCAACGGGUUGAAUUGUGUCGAGAGCUGUGAGAAAUCUGAUCCUUGCAUCCCCAUCCCGAUUCCUCCCAGUGACCCGCGCUUGCCCUCUAACAAAGACAGCUGCAUCCAUGCAUUCAGAUCUGCGCCCGUUUGUGGGACAGGAUACUCUGCCUACAAUUUUGGCGGUGAGCCGAACAAGAGAGAGCAGAUCAACGCCAGGACAGCCUUCCUGGAUCUCAGCCAGGUGUACGGCUCUGAGGACCAACUUGCCCUAUUUCUUCGCGACCUCAAAAGUGAUGGUGGCCUGCUGCGUGUCAAUACAAAAUACAAAGACAACGGUCGUGAGCUGCUGCCCUUUGACCCUCUCAAUGCGAACAUGUGUGCCACUCGCAGAAGAAUCACCAGCAACUCAAACGCCAAAGAGGUGCCCUGUUUUCUUGCAGGUGACUCUCGUGUGGCCGAGAACCUCAUUCUGACAUCCCUGCACACAAUGUUUCUACGAGAGCAUAACCGCCUGGCCCGUCAACUGAAGAAACUAAACCCACACUGGGACGGCGAGACCCUCUACCAAGAGGCCCGCAAGAUCAUGGGUGCUUACACACAGGUGUUUAUGUUCAGGGAUUAUUUGCCACACAUUUUGGGUGCUGACAUGGUACGUACACAGCUUGGCUGUUACCCUGGUUACGAUCCCAAUGUCGACCCCAGCAUCGCCAAUGUCUUUGCAACAGCAGCUUUCCGCUUCGGCCACUUGACUGUCCAGCCACUCUUACCCCGUCUGGAUGCAAACAACAAGGAGCACUCUCAGUUCCCCAGUGUCCCUUUGUUCAAGGCCUUUUUCGCCCCCUGGAGAAUCGUCUUUGAGGGUGGGAUUGACCCUCUGAUCCGUGGAGUGAUCAACCGUCCCGCUAAACUGAAUGUUCAAAAUCACAUGAUGGUGGAUGCUCUGAGGGAGAGGUUGUUUCAGUUUGUGCGGAAACUUGCUUUGGACCUGGGCUCUCUUAACAUGCAGAGGGGACGUGACCACGGCUUGCCUGGCUACAACGCCUGGCGUGGGUUUUGCGGCCUGUCUCAGCCCAAGAACCAGGCCGAGCUUGUUCAGGUCCUGAACAACACUGAACUGGCUAGCAAGCUGCUGCAGUUCUACGGUACACCCGACAACAUUGACAUCUGGCUGGGUGGCGUUGCAGAGCCGUUUGUCCCCGGCGGGCGUGUGGAUCCUCUGUUUGCCUGCCUCAUCACAAAACAGUUCCAGAGGCUCCGCCAGGGUGACAGGCUGUGGCACGAGAACCCGGGCGUCUUCACCCCAAGACAGAGAGCUGCUCUAUCGAAUGCCAACUUACCAAGGAUCAUCUGUGACAACACUGGUAUCACGUCUGUGCCUAGCGACCCUUUCAACAUCGUCUCAAACAACAACCCAAUCAUCCUCUGCAAGGACAUUCAAAGCCUGAACCUUGCAGCCUGGAAGGAGUGACCCUGCACAACUCAGGUGGUGAGACUUGGACUUGGAGAAGAUAAAGACAUCAUUCACCAGAUUUUGAAACACCGCCAGUGCAUUGGUUAGCCUGAGGUCUGAACUCCCUUGGGACACAAAAUGGGUGUUGAAUGCUUCAGUCUCACCUGCACACAAUAUAAAAGGUGGACUGGCAUGGAAGAACAUGAAGAGCUAAGCUACAGACAGACAAAGAAAUAAGAGGUGGCGCACAGUCAGCUUAGUUAAUGAAAGACUAGGUGUCCUAUGCUAUUGGAGUUGCACAUCCACUCUCCAUCUCCAUCUCCCACAAUGGGACCUCCCAGAAGAAUGAGAAAGAGCUGUUGGACAUUGUGAAGCUGAACAACUUUAAUCUCCGUCCAUGAGUUAUCAUGAGGGAUCUUGACCUGAAGAAGUAAGCGCACGGAAGCUUACGGUCACUUUGGUCAUGAUGUCUUUUCAUGAGAGGUGCCCAAGAAGCUGAAAUACUGAAAACCUUAAAACCUCUGUCUGUCUCCCUCCCUCCUUCCUACUCCCACCUCUUCCUUGUCACACACACACACACACAC
Molecule: RNA transcript, 2194 nt
Organism: Micropterus dolomieu (smallmouth bass)
Lineage: Eukaryota; Metazoa; Chordata; Actinopteri; Centrarchiformes; Centrarchidae
Gene name: eosinophil peroxidase-like
Exons: 11
Source: RefSeq, a predicted model, not a curated record